CCACAUAGGGUGGGUUGGGGGUUGGCUUCGUCUUCUCUCUUCAAUUCUUUCUCUCACUACCUCUUCUCUUGGAUGAAACUGAGAGAAAUUUGUUUGGUGGUUUACCAGUGAUUUCCAUGUGAUUGCGCACACGAGAUUAUGAUUCUAUCACUGUGCGGUCUCUAAUUCGCUUGGUGCAGGUCGGGAACCGGUUUUUGCGGCAAAAUGGUGAAGUGGUAGCCGGCGGCGAAUUGGAUCCCGCCUUGCAUCAACUGAAUCGGAGGCCGCAGUGAAGGUUUGUGUCGAUGUCUGGUUACACUCGCUCAGAUCUCAUCUCCAAGAUUAUAUUACCAAUAGUGUAUUUUUAAAUCACCAGAUUCUAACAGUUAUCUAAGGAAGAUCUGACCUAAGAGAAAGAUCUGUUGUUAGGCUCUAAUAUCUUAUCAAAUGAAGGGUUACAGAAAUCUAGAUAAUUCUUAUUAUUUGUGAUGGCACAACAACCUCAGCUAUGUCCAUAAUUUAUGAUAUGAGAAAUUGAGAAUAUAAUUGAAAGUCUAGAGAUUCAUUUUAGCUAUGAUUCUUGUCAGUUAUGGUGCAUUGAUUAUUACUUUUUUUUUUUGUUUGUUUGUUUCUUCAUAGUUAUCUUGACCAAACUACAAACACUAGAAAAAAUAUGAAUAUGAAUGCCAAGUUAGUCCAAAUGUUAGUCUGGUUUACAUUGGUUCUCAUAUUACUGAAUUCUUG
This 723-nucleotide small RNA is filed under the name Vigna angularis var. angularis. Its description in RNAcentral is "Non-protein coding transcript". The stretch from base 149 to 274 matches the Rfam family "MIR168 microRNA precursor family". Lineage: Eukaryota; Viridiplantae; Streptophyta; Magnoliopsida; Fabales; Fabaceae. The record is from RNAcentral.